GUCCAUUGAUCAGAAUAUCAUCAUACCUCUUCCUUCUUUCUUCAUCCUUUAAAAUCUCAUAGAUAGCCACCAAUUGCCUAAACUGUGUUUCUGCAUUUUCAUCUUUGUUCUUGUCUGGGUGUAAAAUCAGCGAAAGCUUCCUAUAUGCUUUCCGAAUAUCUGCUGAUGAAGCAUCCUGCUGCACCCCCAGGAAGUCGUAGAAGUUGCGCGGCACCUCCUCCACCAGGUCGAACAGCUCCAGGUCGCCGCUGUCCCAGGCGCGGCCGCGGGGCAGCAGCAGCGCCAGCAGCGCCAGCAGCAGCGGCGGGCUGCCCAUGGCCCCGGCGCGGACGUGGCCGGGCGAGCGCAGCUGAGGCGGCGCGGCGCCGGCAGCCGCU
RNAcentral lists this long non-coding RNA (377 nucleotides) under Gallus gallus (chicken). The record is from RNAcentral. Lineage: Eukaryota; Metazoa; Chordata; Aves; Galliformes; Phasianidae.